AGCACCGUUGUCCCGACGUUCUAACUCGUCCGUUCGCAUACGUAAAUCGGGUUGCUCCGUUUACGCUUCCGAGUCGAGGAUCCGUUUCGCCAAUUAAAAUUGUUCCUUUUGUUUUCCCCUCUUUCGUUCCGCUUCGAAUCGUCGAUGUCUCGACUACCGACUUACCACCGAACGAAGCGUGAAAACGCUCUGAACAGGAUCGCGUCGUCGAAACGGAAAAAAAAGGAAGGAUUUUGUUGGUCGUUCGGGGGCCCGAAGCACCCCCGACUCGGUCCUGGACCAAGCCGGCCUACCGGAGAAAGAAAGUGCCCCUACUGCGAGAGAUCGAGGUCGAGACUUUGCGCGCCGAUGCUCUUUUACGACCUCCGUCUACGGGCGUCUCUUCCUCUCUCUUUCUUUCCUUCUCGAGAACUCUGUUGCUUGUUCGACAAAGGAGCGGCGGAGAGGUGGAAGAAAAGGAAACGGCUGCGUGCAUGGUUGGAAAGGUUCCUCCGAAACUGUGCAAGGUCGAGGACCAUCCGCGAAGAUGCUUCGGUGCGUGUCCCGAAUGACUUUUCGAUCGUAAGAGAUCACCGAAGAGAAAUUCUCGAACCGGGUCGCGCGCGCUGUUCGUACGACCGUUUCGGCGUGUUUCUCGCUGUCGUUCCGCUGCAACGUAGCAAAAAGGUUUUGCGAAAUCGCGGCUCGUGGAUACGCGCGCGUUUACGAAACUCGUUUCGGAGCGAGGAAAGGAGAGUCGCGAAAAGUUGGACCGUUCCCGCGUCCUAUUUUCCCCGUGCAGGAAACGCGACGGCCGAAAGUUUGCGCGAAAACUCGACGAGAUUCUAUUACGGCCGUAACCGAUCGCGCAUUCAUCCUCGAUUUGCACGAGCGCCGUUUCCAUUCGCGGUCCUUUUGUUCGUCGAUCGCUGGAAGUAGGCAGUCGUCGCUACGAACGAUACACGUGUCUGGGAUUAAUGUAGGCCACCGACUGCGACGUUGUUGUCGUCGUUACACGGUACGGACAACAUCGUGCCUGUUGCUCGUCCGUAAGCCGCUGUAUCGAUAUCGGAUCGCGGACAUAUCGCGAUCGAGUGUACCUAACCGAUAAAACGCGAUUAAUUCUGCUUAUCGACGAACGGUUCGAACCGAGUCUCGCUGCUCGGCGUAACCCACCGGCCUACGGUUCUUUCCCUCGACGAUGGGUCGUUAGUAUUCUAACAACGACCGGAUACGUUUGAGAUAUUUCUCGAAGGUGGUGGUAACCGUUGCGAAGAUUUAUGCAGCCGUCAAUCAGGAUCGUCGCUGGUCGCUAGGCGUGAGCCGCGAAUGCGAAAUACAGCUGCUUUACCUAACACGCACCUGCUGCACCCGAGAUUCGAGAUUUAUACGCGGGGCGUUUCUAUCGCCAUUCGCGUUCGAACUCUCGCGAUUCAACGCGAAGUAAAACUCGCUAUCGAUUGCGCGUAUCGGCGUGGCAUUUCGAGGAAACGGAUUUAGGUUUGUUUGGCUGUCUCUGAUGCAAUUCGCAAUCUCGAUGCAAACACGAACUCCUUAUCGAAGAAAGGAAUGCGAACGAUCAGCUUUGCUUGUUCGUCGAGCAAAUUUUCGAUCGCGCAAUCGUAGCGGGAAAAACGUACACGGAAAAAGGGUCGUCGCGUCACGAGUAUCGAAAGUGUUCGCCGAAGCGAAAGAUAAGUGGAGGUAAAAUCCAGUCGCGUUUAACCGUGGCCGUCGAGUUCGCAGCCACGAGAGUCGUCAGAGCGACGCCAUAAACGUCCGCGAGAAAGGGGUCUUGGUAUAAAUAUUAUGGCUAUAUCGGCCUACCCUACAGCCUGUUAUUCGCAAAUGUAAAUAAACUCGAACGAUACGUUCGUGAUUUCGUUGCCACCAAUUAAGAGAUUCUACGCGCGUAAUCAAUAUUUGCUCUUUCUCUUUCUCUUAUUCUCGGAACAUACGCUAGCACCCUUUAUCGCCGCACGGUUGCUAUUGCGAUUUGUCGUCGCAGCUCGUAUUCGUCACGGUUCUGGCAUUUCGCGUCGAUUUACUUUUACCUCGCACCACCACACACGCUCCCGUAUCACGAUUCCUUUACCUUCCAAGACCGUGUAGAACGAAUGUCGUUUCGCGUUCGACGCUGGUCAACAAAGAAAACCCCCUUGACGUUUCUUCUGUCUGGAUCGUUAACGCGAUCUCCCGCCUCGACGAUCAUCGUUGGGAAGGUCAAUUGCUUUUACGCGCGUUUCUUCGUUAGCGCGAUCCUCGCGAUACCGCGUUACCUUCCGACCGAGAUGUCAGUAUUUUCUUUCGCGCAAACCGAUGCACGAGAAAUUCCGUGGAGUCCUCAGGUGGUAGACCGAUUUCGUUUUUAACGAGACGUCGUUCGAGAAGCGAAUUCGAUCGGUAGAAUUUGUCGUUUCGGAGUAGCGGGACGUCGCGACGCGACGGGACAGGUGCUUUUUACGGUAUCGGGUCGCGUCUUAGAAUACACGGGAACAAGUGGGGGUCACGUAAGGCGGCGGAGAGCGAGAGAGCGAGAAAGUUUAGCGUGGGUUGAAAAUAGCUUGUGGCCGGACUGAAAAUGCGGAGAGCGUCCGCUAUGCACUUGCCGCUCGAUAUUUAUAUCCUUAUAAUAGGUAGGCGCGUUACAACGUAUCGUCUUUGCUCCGCCAACCGAACAAACGAUUAAACGAUCGCGCCUUUCGCUCGGACGAUGCGACGAAACGAGAUCGCGCUGAUUUUUUCUUCUUUACGGGGCUCGUAAAACCUUUACGAGAUACAGGAUUCGAGAUUUCGUAAAUCGAAACUGGUUGGCGCGUCGAAAGUGGUGGCGAGUAACGAAGGAAAACUCGAACGGCGGAUUCUCUGGUUACGUCCAGAAGGAAUGCUCCGGUUGCAGCGGACGAGGCAACGCGACAGAAACGGGCAUGCCAUCUGGAAAGUAACGGUAACGGCACCUGCAAUUAGCGCGACAGCCUGGCUGCCUACUUGUUCGAGUGUUGGCUCGCACGAUCCGGUCGUCGAUGACCUUCCUGCGACGGGGGGAAAACGAGAUCUCGGGGUGUAUCGCGAUCGCUGCAUGGACCUCCUAGGAAAAGGAUCGCGAGCAUCCGGUUUCUUCUCUUCCGUCGCGGCCUUUCUUCUACUCGGUUAAGGACGCCGCGUUCCACCCUUUUAAGCUCGAACGUCUUUCGGAGUAUUUAACGUCCCCGACUAGCGUCGCUGUUUUUUACCCGAUAGGAAUCUGAUAUAUCGUCUCGACGAAGAUCUCGAGAAUCUCGGAAGGUUCGCGGCUCGUAAAAGAUUUCCCCCGAUCGUCAUCUUCGAUCUGGAUGUUGCUGCGGGUCGGCGUUACGAGCCGAUUCUUUCUCGAUUUUCUUUCACGUACCCUCCACUGAAUUUUGAGCCGCGACGCAUUCCGAAGGACGCAGCUGCCUUCGAACGAGCAACAGCUGUUCCCCCGUGCUUCCAUUGGCUCGAGCAGCCCGUACGUACUUACGGACGUCUGUUUUCCAGGAUACUCGCCGUGCCUUCGUGGUUCGUCUUUUCGCUUAGCAUAACAAUGCCCCUUCUUUCGAAACGCGGAAGGUCGUAGGAUUUACUAAAAAACUUGGCUCUCGUAAAACGAUUUCCGCUCGCCGUUUCUCUAACGAUCCGUCGAACGGUGGUUAAUUCGAUCGAGCGAAAUUGCGACGAGUUCCCUCGUCGUGACUCGACGGGAUACGAGGUCCGCGCACGACAUCUUAUUAACAUCCCUUCUGCGCGAUGACGGCGAUUAUCGCCGAUACAGAUAGCUAACGAACGAUAAAGCGGUCGUGGCGUUCCCGUGUCGAGGGCUCUUCAGCUUCCCGUCGCCUUAAUUAUAUUUAUCGGUUUGCUCGAUCGGAACGGUCGCCACGCCGAUCUCUCGUGGAUCGUCGCGAACUCCACGGAGCAAGAGAAAAAAAGCACGGUGGCUGGAUCUUCACGGGUGAGAAAAUACGAUGGUAUGCCGCGAGCACGCGCUGCAUCGACGAACAAACGUUGCCUUCUUCUCAAGGUCGUCGUGAUCAUUGUCCGUUCACCGGUACGCUGCUCGCUCAUCCGAUCGAUAGCUCUGUUCCCGGGGAUCGUGUUGUACGAGUCGGUGGAAGCCACCCAGAGUCACGGAUGGCCGUGUUUCUCUUCUCGAGAAAUAACCUGAAAUUCCAACGAUCGUUAUUCAGCCGCACCGUAUUUAGACAGCCUGGCUAUUCGUGCCAGUUACAAAGGAACGCGUACUCGGCCAACUCGUUUGUCGCGGUAGUUUUCUUUCGACCGCUCUCCGAACGAAGACGUCUCGUCGCUUAAUUUCGAGCCAACGUCUCGAGCGAUCUCGAUCGCGGAAAAAUUCAGCAGAUCGCGGUAUCUGGCCGGUAAUCGAUAGGAACGGAAAGGAAAGUCAGCGAGCCUCGGUCGAGCGAGAAACGUCCUGUUGGAAUGAUGUAUGGAUCGAGAUCGAUCAUGAGCAGGCAACCCGUGGCGGAGUCGGGGGUACCUACAUAGUUGGCGAGAUAUUACGACACAGACUGGAGAGGGAGUCGAGCACGACCGCGACGGAGAAGGGGAUCGUUGCGGAUCGUUCGCGAUCUCGAUGAUCUAUGGGUCACGAUCUCCCACUGUUAGGACGCUUUUUCCCGGAUCGUUGCGGAUCGCGACUUCGAACGCGUUCCGUGGUUUUUCGACCGCUCUAGAAAGUCGUCUCGACGAUAAAGGGGUCCGUCGGUGAAAGAGGAAUACCGCAGGAUCGGACACGUAGGUGGACGAGUUUAUAAAGUGUCCGAUUCGUUACGUUCCUUUUCGAGACGAUCGCAACUUUGUACGGUCAUGGAUCACCUCUCGGUUUCGCGAAACGAGUCCUUGAAAAUCAGAUUAUCCGUUCUUCCGUGGCCUGCUUCUCGCCCACGCUCUCGUUCGAAAGAACCGUUCCAACGAAGCGGACGGGAUACGCGUAAGCGGUUUUGCCAAUGUUUCCAUUCGCAGCUAGACUCUAUCCGCUUUCGGUAUUUUCGUCCGAAUCGGAACGAUCGGAACGUGUCCCUGACGCGUCGUCGCUUCUUUUUGAAACGCCUGGCGUCGAGACGAGUUCUGGUGCACGCUUUCGCGAGCUGGCAGCUGCGAGACGGAACUCGGGGAAAAUUCGUAGUAACGCGUUGUCGUCGAACGCGCGUACGAGAAAAAGAAAGAGAAAGAGGGAGCCGUGUUUGUUCGUUAAGACCCUAUACCCGACGACCUCGUUACUACAACGCGGUCGCUCCCCUUCGGUUUCCGUUCGGUUAACCGUAAAUUACAACCGCGCGACCGGUGUGUAACGAGCAUAAUGGCGACGGUAGCCGGGUGAAGGUCGGCCAACUCGAGCGAACGACGCGAGCUACGAUAACGAUACGAAUCGACGUUUCGUUCCGUUUCGCUAAAAAUCCGUACUGAGAUCUCGUCUCGAAAUCUAGCGACCGAAACGAAAAGUCGACCGCUCUCUCGUAUCGACCGAUCGAUCAACCAUAGACAAGCUUGUCCUUACGCGGCGGCGUCGAAAGAUGAAACGGCGAUCGAGGAUAACGACACGCAGAUUCGAUCAUCCUUGGAGAAGCGGCGCAACGAUGCGUGGCUCCCUUUUGAUUUCGCUUUCUUUCGCUUCGAGAAAUUCUCUCGCGAGAAUAGCCGAUCGACUCUCGAGCCGAUCUCGACGAUGCGACGCGACGGUACGACGCACAGAAAUCGUUGGAAAGUAAGUUGGUCUAACCGUUCCACUCAAAGGCGUCCUACUUUGCCAGCCAUAUCGUCGAUCGUUGCGGUUCCGUGUGUGUCCAUUGUGGCGUGCGUUGGAAAGGGAAUAACCUUGCUCGCAUUUUCUGUCGUGUCGCAAGCUACGUCCACCCCUGUCUCUAUCCGCGUACCGCUUAAACUCUAGUCGAACGGAACCAUUAUCCUUUAAGCGCGUAAGUCGAUACGUUAUCUCGUUUACCGCGGUAAAGCAAUUAAUCCUAUCCUUCUCUCGUUACGUCGUUGGUCGAAAUACGUGGCCACUCGAUUAGGACCAGAAUAAUCGGCCGUGACUUCGAUGAAUCACCGGUAAUUUCCAGCUUUCGAAUCGUCUCGUAGUCCAAUAGUCUGACCCUAAUCGAUCGCGGAUACGCGUCAAGCCGCCUCCGUGUUCGUUUAAUCCGCGAAGCUUUUUCGCUCGAUAUCGUUGAUCCGUCUUCUCGCGCUUUUCCUUCGUCGAGACUGCGCUCUGAUCGGAGAAGUCGAGCGGCGUCGGUAUCGUUGAAUCGCCGCUCCGAAAAGUACGAUCACCCACGCCUCGCAGGAAUCCCAAGGGCGAAACUCUCGAGCCGCUUAUACCUCGGUGGCGAACCGCGAUCGAUAUAGUCGAACGAUAUCGCUUUACCGAUCGUGUCCUCUCUCUUUGCCAGUGUCCCAGAUUCGACGGUAUACGAUGCACUUAGCUACGUCGCUGUAAACACCGGAGCCAGCUGUACACGGCCCUCGUAACGCGAUGCGGGUCGAUCGAUCGGCAACGUUCGGCAAAGGAAGAAGGCCGUUCUGCGACGGGACGGGUCGGUGGUCGUUGCAGGGUGAGAGAUGCGCUAAUUAACGAGAACACGCGAAACAUUCAGCGCGAUUACCGUGCUUGGCCGACGCCACGAUUUCGUGAUUCACGAAGUAUGUGGGGCACGUCGGUUCGUGGAAGUCCGUGACUAGACCGGUGACGAAUACACCUUACCAACGCGACGACUACGAAAUCCUGACUUCGGGUCGCGCUGCUCGAAAGCAUCUUCGCUCCAGCGUUACGUUAAUGACGUCAGAGCCGCGUGAAAGUUUGCCGCGUAACUCGUAUCGCGAUUAUGAAUCGCGUUGUGUCUCGUUCGAGUGCGCGGGCAACGGGCAACGCGGUGAAACGUCUCGAGGAAACUGUAGCGGGUCGGGAAACGGUGCGCGGCGUCGAAACCGAACGAAGGUCUUUUCCGGAAGAAAGGCGGAACGAACUGGUAAGACGAAAAUUUUCCGCGAUUCCUGGAAACCGUUUCGUCGGUUGUCUGUCGACGCACGCGCGCCGCUCGAGCAAUGCCAUAUUUGGAAACGGUUGCAACGAUUUUCGCAAUAUCUCCGUACGUGGUUAACGAGCACGUACACGGGCCGGAAAGCCGCGCCGUGAAAAGUUAACGCGCAUUGUUCGAGAUUCGACGCGUUCGGGCCUUCCCGAGUACGGAAACGAAACCCAACGCUUGUAACGCGACCAUUCGUUCCCCUUGACACGCGCAUUCUUCGUUGCUACCAGUGACGGCGACAGCUGACGAACCAGCCGGCCGAUACCGAUGACCCCCUCGUGUUUCUCGCACGCUAUCCUUCGUACUUCUAUUUCGUUCGGAAGGCUACGGAAAAAUGUGAAACGGUAGCGUUCCGACGCCGCGUGGAGCAACGACGAUGCAAAAACGUCGGCAACGGGAUUCUUUUCUCCGGAAGAAUGCGAAGCGAAACGUAAAAAUUAGAGUCACACCUGCGGUGACUGCACCCCUAUCACGGAAUAUGACAUUCCGUCGUAAGUACUCCGCAUUCCAAGCGGAAAAAGGACGUCGAACCUCGAGGAAGCAAGUGUCCCUGAUAUCGUGUCCUUUUCCGUCGCUGCGUCCGUUCUGACUCGACGUAAAAUAUGAUUUUAGAACAGUAGAGACUAGGGGAACGCGAUCGAUCCCGACGAAAAUGCUUAUACGCGGCCACAUAACGUCCGUGACAUGCACAGGUGUGGCCAGUUAUUCCGCUCGAUUUAUCGCCCUCUUCGUUCGCUGCUGCACAGCGUAAGGUAUCGACAGGGCCGUAGCGACAGCUUUUACGCCCACGUGGGCAGAUUUUUGAAGCGACAUCGAAAUCGCUUUGCCAUAUUUUGGUACUAGACUGUUACUCGAGCAAUCGCACAUUUCUGUAGUUGUCUCUGCGGCUAUGCCCCAUUUCGAAAUCAAUUUCUCCUUCAAACGAGCGUUGCUCGAAUCGUUCCUCGCAUUUCGCAAAGCGUCUUUUUCCUUAAUUUCAACGGAAGCGAAUGUUGCGACAUUGUCCGUUACAAAAGUUGAGCCACCGUGGUUUCGACGCUGUCUUUAGAAAGGAAAAAGAAGAUGGCCGAAAAGAUAAAAGAGGAAGAGAGGGAAAGAGAGAGAAAGAGGAGAAUACGACAAAGCUAGGCGCGAGUCACGAAAGUAGAUCGGAAACGGCCACUCGACCCGACCCGUUAAAACGAGAGGUUUACGUAGUGUACCGAACACGACGACACCAACUGCCUAACUGUCGUUUCCUCGUUCGUAAGCCGUACAGUGCGGCGUACGCUUUAGCGUUCUCGUUUACGAGGUUGGGACGUGUCCUCGUUUCUUCGGCACCUCCUUCCUUCAAAUCGAACGAUCUUGCCGUUUCCUCUUCCGAUAGCUCGACGCACGCGUUUGCAUACAUUAACGGGUUAUCGCGCAACCUCGUUUUCGCCACGAUUUGUCCGUCUUCCGAAGCAAACAUUUGCCUUUCGUUUUCCCAAAUUUUCCGAUCGGUUUUGACGACGCGUUACGAGUGAUGCGACGUAGGUGUCCACGUAGAAGACAAACUUCUAUGCGUACGUAGAAUACGUUAACGUGGGACGGUUGGUCGGUGAUGACCCGAAUGCCGUGAAAUCGCCGUGUGGGACGCGUGUCGCUCGCGGGCCUUUCCUUCGAUUCCACGCACUCCGAUAAUUACGAUUUCACGCGUAAUUAUUCCCAUCUCUACCAUCUUUUAAACUCGCUCGUAACGAUGUCUUUUUCCGUCGCGACAAAAUUCUACCGGAUAAUUGGUCGUUUAUCGGAUCGCGUUCGUACGCAUCGAGCUUGCUAAAAGUCGAUCAAUCGACGAGAGAUCCAGCGAAUUCCACGCGCUUAAACGUAAACGCGGAAACCUCCGGGCAGUCGAGAGAACAUAAACGAUCACCGCUGGAUUACAUUCUGUUAGCACAGUUUUCUCUCCGCGAGACGGUGAACGUCGCCGAGGCCGUAGACGUGGCGCCCAUUUAAACGUUUCUCCGUUCCGCUCGAACCGACUACCUUCUCGACACGAUGGCUCGCCAACGCUCUGUUCGCUCGAUCUUUGCCGUUUCUUCGCAAAAUAAAUAGGAGAGCAACACGAGAAGUUUGUUCCGCGAACUCUGGAGCGAACGAGAGAAGAAACGAUCGAGAAAAACACGAGGAGCGCGAACGAAUCGCGACUCGUUCGACAGCCGUUUAAUCGAGUCGCCUUUUACUUCUCGACGCGACGCGUCCUUGCGUAAACGACUCGAUGACGGCCUUUGUCGUUGUUGUUAUUGUGUCAUCGCGAGUAACGGGCCGUCGCUUCUCGGCCAAGAGGCGGGAGCGGGUGAUUCGAGUCGCGCUGCGCCACUCCGCUCCGUUAAAAGGCAGCCUCGAAAGCGCCACGUGGGCGCUCACCUUCGAUCGCGUGUCAUCGUUUCGCACACGGCAAAACGCGUGCACGCUCGCUCGUGUUUACGCGUCAAAAUUUCACCGUGGCUCGUUCUCGAUUUGCCAAUGUACGUUUUAAUCGUAUACGCGUCCUUUGCUUUCGAUUCUCGAACGUCGCUGUUAACGCCCGAUCUUUGUUCGUUCGAGGUCGUAAGGCGGUCACUUGGACAUUGCCGUCGCACGGCACCUUUCGAUUCGAUUAGGAACGAAAGCGGAGACAGGGUUGCGAGAGUUCCCUCGACAACCCCGUCGCGAGCGCGUUCUUCUUGGCUCCAGAAACCUACAUUCCGGCAAGAGUCGGGAAGAUCGAGUAGAUUAAAGAGCGAAGCCAAACCAGUCCUCGAUAUUGACUCGAAACUGCUCGGUUCGCUCGGCGAACGUCGCAAAAUCGAUGCGUAAACGUCUGGGACGCGACCGGCCACCGAGUCGAGGAAGCGGGAAGGAAUUCUCAAACGAAUCGAGGAGUGAAAUUUUACCGCCUUUCACCGUUUGCGUGCCUUUUCGAUCGAACCUGCCACCGCUGUCUCUUUCGCGUCUCUCCGAUCUUACACCUUUUACGCCGCUCCUCGAGAUCGACCAGAUCGAAAAACGGAAGGAAAGAACACGGUCGUCGACCUUUUGAUCGCUGCUCGUAACGGAUGCACCGAAGUAACGUCACGAUCGCAAAAACUGGCCCGGAUACGCGACGUUCUCGCGCGAGUGCGCGAAUCAUUGCCGAACAGAAGCGGCAACAGAAGCAGCGGUUAAUAGUCGAAGAGAGGGCAAACCGCCAUAGUCUAUUUUUGCCACGGUUUGCUUAUUCUCGUCUCUGGCAUUUUAAUCGAAUAUCCUGUUUGACGAGCAAACAUCGGCCCGCGGAUAUAUUCCGGCGUACCGUUUUCUCUUUGUUCGUUCGUUUUCCACGCCUUUGCACAGUCACCGGAAAUUCUGGCGGAUCACGGAACGAUUCGAGGGGAUCGGUUGGAAAGAGGGAGCGGAGAAUUCGCAGAAGAGCCACGAACGAGAGGGUGGACGAGAGAAAAGAAAGGUGGUCGCGAUAUUCGAUGCUAAAUUUAAAGAUCGAAAGGUUUGGACGAUGGCCUCUCCCUCGGCUCGUUUCCAGAUUCGUCGAUCGCCGGGCGAAUGCACGAGUAUACAAAUAUAUCGCAGGCGCAUGCACGCGCGCAUUCCCUCGACCACGACUGCGGUGCAUUCCUCGAGAGCGAGCACUGCAUUAGCACUGGCGCCAGCGCUCUCUCGACCUCGAGGGAAGCCAGAGAGCCACCCUAGACGGAAAAACGGUUUUUGCGGUUUCAUCCAGUCGUUUUUCUGCGAGCACGUUUCCGAUGCACUCCCCAAGAGGCUCUUCUUACUUCGCCAACUCGACCGACUCGUUCGCGUCGCGUUCCGUCGUUUCUACUCUCUUUUUUAUAAAAACGUUUUUCGUACUCGUGGACCUUGAACCGCGAUCGGUAUACUCGUCGAGUUAGCGACAACCCGAUAACCGCUUUUGACCACUCGAGGGACGAUAACGCCGCCUGUUCUACGAGACGAUCGACGAAAAAUUCCUUCGCCGUUAGUCACCGUUGACGAGGAACGUUCUUUCCGUUGGAACGUCACCGACGAACCAGAAGCGUACGAGCAACGACGACGAGAUUCGAAGCAACUGUUGCCGAAUAGCCGGAGGCAGAGCGAAAGAGGAUAUAAAAGACGUUAGCUCGUUGUAGGAAGUAGGCGACGGAUAGGUGGCAGACGACGCGCGCGCGAGACUCUAAUAAAACGAAACUCGUUUCGUGACCUCUGGUCAGCAUACGGCACAGUAAAUUUUGCCUUCGGCGAAGGACCCGUUUGCCAGGACGUUUCGAGGCUCGACGACAAAGCUACUCGGUCGAACGAAUCGCGGCCUCUCUCGUGGUUUCACCUUUUGUCGGUGAAAUCCUCGUCGAUGGAACGCUUUUUACCUGAAAGAGCCGCAGCUUGGCCGUCUCGUCGCUCGGUAAUACGUCUGGAAUUUUGCUCGAAAAGGCUUUCCCGCAGUGCGGACCGGCAGCCUCUCGACCGGGCCGCUUCGCUCUCUUCUUCGGCACACGGCGGUUAGAGCCUCCCUCGGUUUUCUUUCUUUCGCGAAAACCCGUUCGAGCAGCGUGCGCUGGAACACCGCCAAAAAGGAAAACUACCAGUCCUUUUAUCGCGCGCUUUCAAAGAGUCGUAAUACGGAUCCGAGUAGGCUUUACGCGGAUACUUUUUGGCUACAGUUCACGGUCGCUGCAACUUCGAGUUGCAAGAUUAAAGCGCCGUGAAUGGGCGGCCAAAUAAUCGAGACACGGGUACUCUCCGGUUUGGCCGAUCGCGCGAUCAUGGACGGAGAAACACCGGGCUGCGGAUAAUACGAGUAACCUUCAUCCGUGGACCGUUAUUCUGCCCUGUCGGGCCCGGCGGCUACGGCUAUUCAGGUCUCUGGGUCCCCGAUCGUCGGCGACACCGAACCGAGAACUCGACGUCUCACGCGAGAUGCGACAGCUUCCUUCUAUUAUACGCCCUCUUCGAUCGCGAUACGUUGUUGUCGCGUUCCGUUCUCGUUCUUCGGGUCUCGCGAUUCGAUCCGGAGAAAAGCGCCAGAGGCGAGCAACGGGGGACGAAAAAUCGGGCAUACUUCCGAUACGGUUCGAGGUCAAAGCCGAUUCGUCGACGCGAGAAGGUAUCUCGCGCGAACGUCGCGUCUCGUCGCGUCGGUCUUCCGUAAGUGGGCCACGCGCAAAGUAGGCCUUCUCGCGAACGCGCCCGGUGAACGAAGACGCGUCGUGGCAAUAGCGUCUCGUUUCGACGAAACGCGGAUCGCGUCUACCUUUCGAAUACGAACGGAAUACCCGUGAUUCGGAUCGAGGCGGAUCGCUAAUGGGAUCAAGGAGCAGAGUUCAGGAGGCGUGUGCUCUUCUCUCGAAUCGUUUGUUCUGGCGAGACGGUUGGGCUCGCCUUUGCCACGGAUCGACGUCGACCGAUAAAUCUUGCAGUUGUUCCUCGAACGUUUCCGGGAGAAUGGAACGCGAAGCUAGAUCGCCGCGAUCGUCGUGUACCAUUCCGUAUCGCGAUAAAUCAUGCGCGCUUUAGAACGUAAAAAGUAAGUUUCGAAACGAGCUGGCUGACUCGGUCAACUGGUAGUUCGAUCGGUAGCAUCGUUUCGUCGCGCGACUACGGAGAACCGCCUAGCGGAAGCUAGGCGCGAUAAGCGAUUAUAGACUGGUCGUAUCGCAUCGCGCUCGAUUACGGAAUCUCGGCGUCACGGUAGUGGACGGUUGCGUAAACGACGAAACGAAACACGGUGCAUCGAUCGUCGUCGAUGCUCGAGAGCUAGAUUGCCUUCGAGAAAUCGCGAACGGUCGCGUCGAGUAACGGCCGUGGUUCUCGAAGGAGAGCGACUCGGAGCGACAACCGCCUUUCCCGAUUUCGUCACGAGUGCACUGUUAGAGGCACGGUAUCGUUACCGAACGACUCCGUUCCAUUGCGAACCGUAUCUCUCUCUCUCCCUCUGACUCCUUCUCGACCCAACGUUCAGGACACGCGGAUCCGCGCGUGGGUUCCGCGAUAUGGGCCGAAAGCUGUCGAUCACGCCGCUAAGGACUGUCCAAUUACCGUGACCAAAGCGUGGUAUUAAUGAGUGUACGUCCACGCCGCGCGCAACCAGUUUUGAAAGCCGUUCGAUUUAUAGCCUUGCUUUCGAUUAGCUAUCACCGGUACCUCUGUACCAGCGAGAAAAUAAUAAUCCUUCCGUAGCGUGGAUCUCGAGAUUUCGUCGGUUACGAAGAUAAGAAAAAUAUGCGAUAACUCUAACGGACUCGACGACGAAGCGGCCUGGCAUUAACGCGAAACCGAUGACGUUCCACGAAGAGCGACGGCGAGUCAUGCCUCGGUCGGUUCUCACGAGCAGCCUCCUUUCGUAUGCAGAAGCGAGCAAAGGCACGCGGGAUCGCGUCGUCGAGGAAUUUCGACCGGGCGCGGACGGGCGACGUUGAAUCACGCGUGCGUUAACUCUCCUCGACGUAGCAACGAAUCGCGCGACGUGACUCACGCUCGUGGCUUCGGGGCUCGACUCGAUCCGGUCGAGGAAAGGUACGCGACUUUUGUUUCGUAACCUCGAAUCCGUGGGCAUACCGCGAAACGGUUCCUUCUUCGCCGGGUUCUCGGCGAGGUCGGCCGCGUUCCUUCCUGGAAGACUCCGAUCGAGAGCCGGAGAGCGACGACGGUUGGAAAGAAAAUUGUGAAACGGGAGGAAAGGUCAGUGGCUCGAUCGAGUCGAGUCACGAACGAGGGCCGUUUUCAACGUCGAGGUUCGCCACGCAUCGUGUGCGCAGUGCGCGCAGGUUGCACGCGAAGGGCUCGCGAACGAUGCGUAUCUAUGCCCGACCGGCUGAGUCACGUGGGAAGCAUGCGUGAAGCUAUUCCUCGGCAGGUUCGGCGUUUACCCUUACCCUUCUCUUCUUCCUCCGUCGUUUUUUCUUUCUUUCUUUAUUUCCUCUUGCCGUUUCCAAGCGAGCGAGCAUCGUGCCUCGCCUCUCUUCAUCCCUCUCUCGCUCUUUUUGCCUUUCGCCCUAGCAUCGCGUCGAUCGAAUUACCGCAAAUUGAUUCGGAUGUAUCGAUCGUGCGCGUAAUCCGCGUGCUGCCAGCCAAGCGGUGGACGUUGAUCGAUCCUAGCGGUCGAGCCGCGUCCAUUAGCGCGGCCUGUGAAAAGCUACGGACACGCUCUCGUCCCACGGAGGCUGCGUGAAAUUCCAUCGUUAUCUGUAUCCGUGCUUUAAUGCGGCAACGCUCGUUGGUUAUCGGCGUCAUUACCGAGAGCGGGAGCAACGGAAAAAAUGCUCGAUCGUUUCGCGUACGCUUCCGCCAAGUCAGAGGCCCCAGCGUUGCCGGGAGGAGAGUAUCGAGAUCCUCUCGGAAGAAUUUCAAACAGUCGUAACGCUUUUCUCACGGUACACGAGAAACCUUUAACCCGCGUCGAUGAUACGCAAAAUCGGAGAGGAGACCGUUCCUCGAAGACGCGGCCACGAGAACGUGGAACGCGAGAGGAAAUAACUCGGAUGUUCUACUCGAGAAACUUUAAAGCGCGGUUCAAACGAUUUGUUAGCGGAGCCGCUCGAGGGAAGAGGUUGCCUUCUCGGUGUAACCGACUUAAAUUAUUGGCCGUACGCCUCGGGGUCCCGAUUGAACGUUCAAUUGCGGCCAUUAUGUAAAUAUUUUGCUAAGAAGAUGACAGGAUUAAACCGACCCGCCGCACCGGACCUUCGUGCAAUAAUCGGACAAGAAUGUUCCAAUUAAGUCUCGAAUAGCUCGUAGGUAGAACGCGUGGUCUCGCGCUCAAAAUCAUAAAUAUUAGCGAGUCGCGUUGGCUGCUAUUAAACGUAAUUCCGUAAUGGGAAGAAAAUUUGUUCGCGAAAAGAUAAUAAAAGUUCAUUUUCUCGGAGCCUGAUUCGAUCUGGUUGUUAUCGCGCUCGGCGGAAAAAAGAGAAAGAACGUUUUCGUUGCCGCGGUCUCUCGAGGUCUCGAGUACAAUGCCGCCAAACUAUUUGCACUUGAAUGCCGGGUCUCAUCCGUUUUCAGGCCGGAUGUAGGUCCCGCCUUGCACCGGAUGCGAUCCCUUUGCCGCAUCGACGCGAGCUUCUCCCGAGGUCUCGCUACUCCUUUUACCCUGUUCUUCUGUUGGCUCCGAACCAGGCUCUUUUCAGAACAAUUAACCGAAACAGCGUAAACUCGAGCGGAACGAACUUUCGCGGUCGAUUUCGUUCGUUCGGUGGUCGUCGUAAUCGAGAACGCCCACGCGUUUCACCGGCGAACGAUACGUCUCUCUCAGUUUUUUAAUGGCCGUUAUAAAUCACGAUCGCGUCGGUUUCUCGAGUUGUUUCAUUCGGAAAACUCAUUAAGCCUCUGUCGGUCGGUUCGCCUCGGUCGACGUUAAUAACCGGCUAUGCCCUUUUACCGUUCGCCUUCUCGAAAAAGCUCGCGUUCCUUUUCGCGACCGGAUGAAAUAUUCUUCUAUUCGCUCGUCUCGCGGAUGAAAUUAAUCCGAAAUUGACCGGAUCCGAGUGGCGAAAGAAAAAGCCCGAUUUAUUAAUCAUCGACGGAUAUUACCGAGCGUUCGCUCUCGGCGUAGCGGAGAAGGGAGAGAUAGAUCGGCGACCUCGUAAAAAAGCCCUAAAAGCAAAUUGCUCGGCUCGUAACAGCCGACGGCCAAGUCUAAUCUCGCAGAGGGCAACGUGGCUAGCGUCGGGGAACGAACGAACGAAGGAACGAGAAGGGGAGCAGUUCGCCGGUAGGCCGACGUAAUUAACAAAGUCACGCUCGGUCGACCCGAGUCAAGGCCGAACAAUUGUUUCAUCCCCGCACCGAAUUCGCGCUACACCGACUAGCAGUGCCGAUUUCAGGGCUAAUCUCCGUUCGACCGGAUGUCUCGAUUCGACCGCGAAGAAUGGCUGCUGUGUACGCGAGGUAGCUGCCUACGGCGUUAUCGUUUCGGUCUCGGACGCGAACGGAUCAUUACGCUCGCGCGUUAUCCCGACGGUCGACGAGGAACGAGGAAGCGGCGUCGCUUAAUCGAUAAUGCAUUGUGCCUUCGCAGGAACGCGUAACGCGAGGAGUACGCGUUCGUUGGAAAGCGGCGACGCUAAUAACACGCCGGCCACGAACCGACGUUUCUAGUACGUCCGGAAGAUUAAAACUCGUCGAGUUUUUAACCGUUUCACCGGUUGCUCUCCGGUAUCGGUCGCCGCGAUCGAUCCUUGGACCGGUUUUGAGCUUUCUUCCUGUCUACCCGUUAGAAUCGGCUACUCCGAUUCUUCGAAUCGCUCGAAUCGUCACCCGUUUAUACACGGCGAAAACGAGCAAACGGAAGAGCGACGACACGAAAACGCGAAAAAGAAUAUCGCUGGGUAAUUAAAAUCGAGUGGAAGCAAAUAAAUUGCACGAAACGGCGCUGCGAGGAAGAUGGCGUGGCGAGCGGAGAGCGUAUCGCGAACCGAUCAGGAAAGAAGUUAUCGCGAGUAACGGACGCGGUAGAUCCAGCUUCCAAGAAUAGAGCGUCCUCGCGGAGGUUAACCCCACCUGGAAUGCCAUCUUCUGCUUG
RNAcentral lists this long non-coding RNA (16554 nucleotides) under Megachile rotundata (alfalfa leafcutting bee). Its description in RNAcentral is "uncharacterized LOC105662730". The record is from RNAcentral. Lineage: Eukaryota; Metazoa; Arthropoda; Insecta; Hymenoptera; Megachilidae.